CUACGGGAGGCAGCAGUGGGGAAUAUUGGACAAUGGGCGAAAGCCUGAUCCAGCCAUGCCGCGUGGGUGAAGAAGGCCUUAGGGUUGUAAACCCCUUUCAGCGGGGAAGAUAAUGACGGUACCCGCAGAAGAAGUCCCGGCUAACUCCGUGCCAGCAGCCGCGGUAAUACGGAGGGGACUAGCGUUGUUCGGAAUUACUGGGCGUAAAGCGCACGUAGGCGGAUUUGUAAGUCAGGGGUGAAAUCCCGGGGCUCAACCCCGGAACUGCCUUUGAUACUGCGAAUCUCGAGUCCGGAAGAGGUGAGUGGAAUUCCUAGUGUAGAGGUGAAAUUCGUAGAUAUUAGGAAGAACACCAGUGGCGAAGGCGGCUCACUGGUCCGGUACUGACGCUGAGGUGCGAAAGCGUGGGGAGCAAACAGGAUUAGAUACCCUAGUAGUCCC
RNAcentral lists this ribosomal RNA (441 nucleotides) under uncultured bacterium. RNAcentral's name for it is "bacterial SSU rRNA". It matches the Rfam family "Bacterial small subunit ribosomal RNA", at positions 339 to 797 of the family's 1533-position model. The record is from RNAcentral.